Molecule: ribosomal RNA, 502 nt
Filed under: uncultured bacterium
Lineage: Bacteria
Description: partial 16S ribosomal RNA
Rfam family: Bacterial small subunit ribosomal RNA
Source: RNAcentral
GACGAACGCUGGCGGCGUGCUUAACACAUGCAAGUCGAACGGUGAAGGGGUCUGCUUUUGUGGGCCCUGGAUGAGUGGCGAACGGGUGAGUAACACGUGAGUAACCUGCCCCCUUCUUCUGGAUAACCGCAUGAAAGUGUGGCUAAUACGGGAUAUUCUGGGUCUGUCGCAUGAUGGGUCUGGGAAAGAUUGCGCCUUUGGGUGUUUUUGGUGGGGGAUGGGCUCGCGGCCUAUCAGCUUGUUGGUGGGGUGAUGGCCUACCAAGGCGGUGACGGGUAGCCGGCCUGAGAGGGUGGACGGUCACACUGGGACUGAGACACGGCCCAGACUCCUACGGGAGGCAGCAGUGGGGAAUAUUGCACAAUGGGCGCAAGCCUGAUGCAGCGACGCCGCGUGAGGGAUGGAGGCCUUCGGGUUGUAAACCUCUUUCGCCAGUGAAGCAGGCCUGCUCCUUGUGGGUGGGUUGACGGUAGCUGGAUAAGAAGCGCCGGCUAACUACGCG